UACUAGAGUAGCACUCGCAUAUCAAUAAGCGGAGGAAAAGAAACUAACAAGGGAUUCCCCUAGUAACGGCGAGUGAAGCGGGAAGAGCUCAAAUUUGAAAUCUUAAAGGGUUUCCCUUUACGAAUUGUAGUUUAAAGAAGUGUUUUCUGUUGAGGUUUUGGUAAAAGUUCUUUGGAAUAGGACAUCAUAGAGGGUGAGAAUCCCGUAUUUGACCUUUACUUUCAACUUUGUGAUACACUUUCAAAGAGUCGGAUUGUUUGGGAAUGCAGUCCAAAAUGGGUGGUAAAUUUCAUCUAAAGCUAAAUAUUGGCGAGAGACCGAUAGCGAACAAGUACCGUGAGGGAAAGAUGAAAAGAACUUUGAAAAGAGAGUUAAACAGUACGUGAAAUUGUCAAAAGGGAAGCGUUUGACACCAGUGUUGUUUUUCUGAAAAUCAAUUAAAGAACUGUUUAUGCUAAGUUGUUUAGACUUUAUCAGCUAAUCUGUUUAGUUUUGAGCUUUUCUUUAAUGCACUUUUCAGUUAACAAGUCAACAUCAAUUUCUUUUGCUGUAAAAAAGCUUGAGGAAGGUGGCUUGAGAUUCGUCUUAAGUGUUUAUAGCCUCUUGCCUAUGCAGUCGGAGAGAUUGAGGUCUGCAGCGUAGAUCCUUCGGGGCUAAAUGCAUUUGUGCUAAGUUAUAGCAUUUUAUAGACAACUUGUUGACUAUGAUUUGUCUUGUAGCUUACUCGCUUAUGUUAUUUUACCUACGCUUAGGAUGUUGAACUCUAUCACACACAG
This 776-nucleotide ribosomal RNA is filed under the name uncultured Neocallimastigales. RNAcentral's name for it is "partial large subunit ribosomal RNA". It matches the Rfam family "Eukaryotic large subunit ribosomal RNA", at positions 20 to 627 of the family's 3401-position model. The record is from RNAcentral. Lineage: Eukaryota; Fungi; Neocallimastigomycota; Neocallimastigomycetes; Neocallimastigales.